AUGGAGGAGGCGGAGAAAGGGGAGCUCUUGGAGAGGGACACCAAGCCAACGGCCGGCCUGCCCCUGCUCACCGACGACCUCAUCCUGGAGAUCCUCUCCCGCCUCCCCGUCAGAUCCCUCCACCGCUUCAAGUGCGUCUCCGUGUCCUGGCGCGACCUCAUCGCCGACCCCGCCAACCGCAAGAAGCUGCCCCAGACCCUCGUUGGCUUCUUCUACAUGACCAUCAACAACAGGAUCGGCCACCACUUCGCCAGUGUCUCCGGGGACGGCGCAGCCCCGUUCGACCUUUCCAUCCCUUACCUGCACAAUAACAAGUACGGCGGCAUCACCCAGUUGGACGCCUGCAAUGGCCUCCUUCUCUACUGUGGCUUCAAGAAGAAGAUGGAGAGUUGGGAUGAUUUCCGUUUUCUAGUGUGCAAUCCCGCCACUGGGAGGUGGGUGGAGCUGCCCCCUCGGCCGCCUGUGCCCGUAAAGAGAUAUAGCUGUACCACAGGUCUUGCUUUUGAUCCGGCAGUCUCAUCUCAUUUCUACGUUCUUCACUUUGAGCAGGCGGUUCCAGAAACUUACAUCACAGGAGUGAACAUCUACUCGUCACGGACAGGAGCCUGGAGUUUCAGGAGUGGUAGUAGGAUGGUUGAGAAAGUGGUGCCGCUCAAUAGUAAAUGUGUCUUCGUCGGCGGUAUGAUGUAUUUGAUUGGCAACCUGAUGGACUUCAACAACAUAUACGUGCUGAUGGUGGUGGACAUGGAGGGGAAAGUGUGGAAGACUAUCCCUGUGCCGUAUGGCCAAAGAUCUGCCACGAUUGGAGUGUCGCAGGGGUGCUUGCACUAUGUUGUAGCUUCAACGGUUUCAGUCAAUGAUAGUAAUGAAAUCCUAGAUUCUGGGAUAACACUUUGGUGCCUCAAGGAUCGUGACAGUAAAGAAUUGGUUCUGAAGCGUUCUGCCAACAUCAAUGAGCUUAUGGGCAUGAUUGGGGAGAAGUAUACGGUGGCUGAGAUUCAUCCAGAUUGUGACACCGUUUUCUUGAUGUCAUCUGGAGGUGACACCUUGGUAGUGUAUGAUAUGCAACAUCAGAAAGUUGGCUGUGUCCUUAAUCUUGAGAAAGGCAUUACAAAACCGAAACAGUUUCUACCCUAUGUUCCUCUCUUCUCGGAGUCAUUACCAGAUGCAGAUGGGCAGUAG
Molecule: ribosomal RNA, 1182 nt
Filed under: Triticum aestivum (bread wheat)
Lineage: Eukaryota; Viridiplantae; Streptophyta; Magnoliopsida; Poales; Poaceae
Description: partial small subunit ribosomal RNA
Source: RNAcentral